Molecule: ribosomal RNA, 1392 nt
Filed under: Triticum aestivum (bread wheat)
Lineage: Eukaryota; Viridiplantae; Streptophyta; Magnoliopsida; Poales; Poaceae
Description: partial small subunit ribosomal RNA
Source: RNAcentral
UCUUCGAUUCACCGAGCGCACUGCUUUUACAAAGAAAGAUUUUACAAAGUAAAAUUAGAGUGUUCUGCACUCCUGGGAAGUUUUUCUUUUCUUUCUUCCAUUCUGUGUUCUGCACUGCAGGGACGAGAGUAGUUAUCUGCAUAGACUAGCGCACUACAGUAGGUGCACAUGUGCACUGCACGUACAAUGCAAAUAUCUUUCAGCAGGCAUGUCCUCUGUUAGACUCUGUGUAAUACAGUGCGUCCAGUGUUGCUGCAGUUCAUACAUAGGCAAUAGGCAUGGUGACAAUAUAAUAAGAACAGUGAAAAUGAAUGGUCACUGCAAAUAUGGACAAGUGUUGUCAUUAGCAACAAAAAGCAAAAGAUGAGCCAAAGCAAGCAUGAAUCCAAAUCCACUGCAAACUCACUAAUAAUUCAACAUUGCUGGAGCCUGGAGACACGUGAACCAAGAUCCAGUGAUCACUUUGGCUCCAGGGAUAAUGGACUAUGGAGUGUGUUUGGAUAUAUUUUGCUACUGUAGUUUGUUGGACCUGUCAGAGACUCAGAGUUGACGGCUCAGCCUAGUAGUAGCGUGCAAGACAUCUGAAACAAGCAUUGGAUUUUUACAACUUCCAAUGGCUGAUCAUCACAAAACAAGACUGGCGGCAAAACUUGAAUUUCACUGAAGUUGCAAUAUACAGCACAAGGGAAUCGCAAUGAUGGUUGGAUGUAGAUAUGCAGAAACUAUAGACAACAAAUCAAAUGUACUACUAACGCUAAAUCAAAGGGGUGUUUAGUAAAGACAUCUGAGAUUCAGUGGGUCAGGAAAUAACUUAGGCGCUCCAUAUCUGGCUGGCCACCUUAGUGCAGUGCACUUCUCUCCUGCCGCCGGGGAACCGCAACAAGUUGGGGAGAGAGCUGCUUUUGGAGGCUCGUUGCCAAACUGUAGCAGCAGUGAUAGUGCACAGCAGGAAGCGAGCAGCUUGUCAGAUUUCUGUGUUGAUGAGAAUGUAGGGGGAGGGGGCGCUUUGACUAGAAACUGAAUUGCGAGGCAUAGAGCAGAGCAGUCAAAUCUGAAGAGGUAAAAAAAAAUGGAAAAAACAAAUCGAACAAACUGCACGUAUGGAACUGGCCGAGGCGCAUGCCCGCACAGCUGAUGUCGCUCGGUCGAGCUGCACUGAUGUCACCGGCGAAAGUGCACUGCAUGCGCGCCCGCCACAGGAUAGUGGUGCACAUCGAACCGAACUGCACUGGAAUCUCGCUGGUUGCCGAUGCGUGUGGUGUCCACGGCCUCGAAAAUUGACCCCGACGAUGGGAAGGGUCGCACGACCUGAGAGGUAGGGAAGGGAAGUGGAGUAGGAGGGCGACGGAGGAAUCUUGCUAGGAUGCAUGGGGGCGGGGUUGGCGGAGGUCC